UACAGAGGGUGCAAACGUUGCUCGGAAUCAUUGGGCGUAAAGCGCACGUAGGCGGCCUGAUAAGUCGGUAGUGAAAGCCCUCGGCUUAACCGAGGAAGUGCUAUCGAAACUGCCAGGCUUGAAUACCGGAGAGGAUCGCGGAAUUCCCGGUGUAGAGGUGAAAUUCGUAGAUAUCGGGAAGAACACCGGUGGCGAAGGCGGCUAUCUGGCCCGUAAUUGACGCUGAGGCGCGAAAGCGUGGGGAGCAAACAGG
RNAcentral lists this ribosomal RNA (253 nucleotides) under uncultured bacterium. Its description in RNAcentral is "partial 16S ribosomal RNA". It matches the Rfam family "Bacterial small subunit ribosomal RNA", at positions 524 to 776 of the family's 1533-position model. The record is from RNAcentral.